CGAGUAGGUCAGAUGAUCGCGGGCACAGAUAACUGUGAACGAGGAAAGUCCGAGCUCCGUAGAGCAGGGUGCUGGGUAAUACCCAGUAGAGGUGACUCUCAGGAAAGUGCAACAGAAAUAGACCGCCCAACAUUUAAUCUAAGUAUUCUAAUAAUUUACAUUAUAUUAUAGUACUUAGAUUGAGUGUUGGGUAAGGAUGGAAAGGUGAGGUAAGAGCUCACCAGCAACUAGGCGACUAGUUGGCUCUGUAAACCCCACCCGGAGCAAGACCAAGUAGGGAGAUUUAGUGCGGCUGCUCGUCGCGUCCCGUGGUAGGUUGCUUGAGUCUAUUGGUAACAAUAGACCUAGACAGAUGAUCAUCCAAGACAGAACUCGGCUUAUAGAUCGACUCGCUUA
RNAcentral lists this RNase P RNA (396 nucleotides) under Serpentinicella sp. ANB-PHB4. Its description in RNAcentral is "RNase P RNA component class A". It matches the Rfam family "Bacterial RNase P class A". Rfam says of the family: Ribonuclease P (RNase P) is a ubiquitous endoribonuclease, found in archaea, bacteria and eukarya as well as chloroplasts and mitochondria. Its best characterised activity is the generation of mature 5'-ends of tRNAs by cleaving the 5'-leader elements of precursor-tRNAs. The record is from RNAcentral. Lineage: Bacteria; Bacillati; Bacillota; Clostridia; Peptostreptococcales; Natronincolaceae.